CGAUAUAACUUCCAAUAUGCUGAAAUUGAAUAAAACAAAGAAAGGAGUCAAUAUUGGUUGAGAGGGAUAAAUAAUAAACUUAGAAACAGAAAAGAAAAAAAAGUUGAACCGAAAAAAAAAGAAACAAAAGAAAAUAAAGAAAAACAGAGGAUUUUGGAGAUUACUUACAGGUCAAGAAAGAGAGGAUUAAGAUAUUGGUGUUAUUGUUGAGUCAUAACAGCAUCAACCCUAAUUGAAGCAGACAAGGAGGACUGUGAUUGUAAACGACGAUUGGGCCUUCUUCUCUCCGACGAUAGGGUUUGUGGAGAUUAUGAUCGACGUAUGCUGCGGCCUCACAUCCACCGCCACGGCCUCACACGAAAAUAGUUGCGAUUCAAAGCUUUAGAAGAACACGAAAAGCUAUGCUUGCUUUAGAACUUUCUCACUCAAGAU
RNAcentral lists this long non-coding RNA (432 nucleotides) under Arabidopsis lyrata. RNAcentral describes it as "long non-coding RNA (ALYR_LNC002943)". The record is from RNAcentral. Lineage: Eukaryota; Viridiplantae; Streptophyta; Magnoliopsida; Brassicales; Brassicaceae.